UUGGAUGAAGUUCUUUUAAACUAAAGGGGUCUGUUUAAGUCUAGUUUGAUCACUCAUCUUUUGCUGCUGCUAUUCUUUAUUUUACUCUUAUUAUUAUCUAUCCGAUGCCUAGUCACUUUACCCUGCCUUCAUGUUCAUGUAUCUCAAAUACCUCCUACCUCUGCACAUUGUUCUGGUAUUGCUACUCCAUGUAUAUAGCUUCAUUCUUGUGUAUUUUAUUCCUUGUGUUACUAUUUUUCUUUUUAUUCUUAUUUUUUAAACUACACCGUUGGGAAGGGCUCGUAGGCAAACAUUUCAUGGUAAAGCCUACACCAGUUGUAUUCAGCGUAGGUGACAAAAGUUGUGAUUUGAUCAAUAUUGAUUUGAAGGUGGAUUAUUUAAAGAGUCACAUGUUGAAGAAAUGUUGGUCACAUAUGUAUUGUUAGUAUUGCUAUGUGUAUAAUCAAUGUGUUGUAUGUGCUGUACUCAUGUUCUAUAUGUCUGUGGUACUGUGUGAGUGUGUACCUAGUGUUCCCAACCUAAUUUCUCCAGAUCUGAGAAAAAAAAAACAGAAAUAAAAACAUGAAAACUCCCAGGCCAAGCUGCCAGCAAUUUAUGCUGAGUUAGCAGCGAGUUGCUCGCAACUCUUUAAACAAAACACAAGUCAACCCCCCCAAAAAAUCCAGUCAAUCUGGGGCCUGCCCUCUCCCCUCUUUCUCUCUUCCCUGGGCCGUGAUAAACGACUGGCAGAGAGAGAGGUAGUCCAGAGGGCAUCUGGCCAGGUCGCGCGCUCAUGUGUGUGUGUAUGCCGUACUAUACAUGCAUGGGCACUGUGUGUGUGCAUGUGUACGUGUGUGCGUGCUGUGAAUGCAUGUGUGUGUGUGUGGUGUCUCAGGUCCUGCCUGAGAGGCAGAAAUAUGUGCUGAAGUCACAGUUUUUCUCCCACUCUGCCCCUGCGGCCAGUUUCCUCCCAGGAUUCUCAGGAAGCCAGAGGGGAGGCAAGGUGCUGCUUGGUCAAUGUUUCUCUUCACUAGAAAGACUUCCUGUUUUUGAGGGGGAGGACAGAGUUUGAGCACUGACGUAUGACCAAUGGACCCAUUCAGACAAUAGACCAGUCCAGGAAUCAAAGUCAACAUUCAGGAGAAACUCCCCUGGCACAGAACACUGAGCGAAAAAAGGCCAAAGGAAGAAGACUCCCUUAAUUAUGGACUCGGAGAGGAGCUAAUUGUCUCCUUUGGGUCCAGGCUGCGGUCGGAUUGGUUCCCUUUGGUCCAGACUGUAGUCUUAUUGGUUCCUUUGGAUCCAGGCUGUUGUCUGAUUGGUUCUUUUGGGUCCAAAAUGUGGUCUGAUUGGUUACUUUGGGUCCAGGCUGACGCUAUGGUCAGGUGGCCAGACGUGAUGCCAGGAUUCACUCCUCACAUUGUUCCUCUCAGGGACUCAAGCCUUCCGGUGGUAUAUAUGAGUCAGCUGCUCUGCUGUGGACAGGGCAAUUGGCUAGUACACUACAUGAAUACACUACAUGACCAAAAUUAUGUGGACACCUGCUAGUCGAACAUCAUAUUCAAAAAUGGGGAUUAACAUGGUGUUGGUCCCCCCUUUGCUGCUACAACACCCUCUUCUUUGCCGGGAAGGCUUUCCACUAGAUGUUGGAACAUUGCUGAGGGGACUUGCUUCCAUUCAGCCACAAGAGCAUUAGGGAGGUCGGGCACUGAUGUUGGGCGAUUAGGCCCGGCUCGCAGUUGGGGUUCCAAGUCAUCCCAAAGAUGUUCUAUGUUUUUACAUUUUGUUUUUGAACCUUUAUUUAACUAGGCAAGUCAGUUCUUAUUUACAAUGACAGCCUAGGAGUAUUGGGUUAACUGCCUUGUUCAGGGGCAGAUUUUUUUUUUUACCUUGUCAGCUCAGGGAUUCGAUCUAGCAACCUUUCAGUUACUGGCCCAACAGUCUAACCACCUGCCGAGGUGACUUUGUGCACCGGGGCAUUGUCAUGCUGAAACAGGCCUUCCCCAAACUGUUGCCACCAAGUUGGUAACACAGAAGCUUCCAAACUGUCAUUGUAUGACGUAGCGUUAAGAUUUCCCUUCACUGGAACUAAGGGGCCUAGCCUGACUGCCAGAUGGUGAAGCGUGAUUCAUCACUCCAGAGAAUGCGUUUCCACAUCUCCAGAGACCAAUGAAGGCAGGCUUUACACCGCUCCAGUUGAUGCUUGGCAUUGCGUAUGGUGAUCUUAGGCUUAUGUGCGGCUGCUUGGCCAUGGAAACCCAUUUCAUAAACCUCCCGACAAACAGUUAUUUUGCUGACGUUGCUUCCAGAGGCAGUUUGGAACUCGGUAGUGAGUGUUGCAACCGAGGACAGACAAUCUUUAGGUGCUACACACAUCAGCACUCGGCGGUCCCGUUCUGUGAGCUUGUGCGGCCUAUCACUUCGAGGCUGAGCCGUUGUUGCUCCUACACGUUUCCACUUCACAAUAUCAACACUUACGGAGCAGCUCAAGCUGGGCAAAAAUUUGCCGAACUGACUUAUUGGAAAGGUGGCAUCCUAUGACAGUGCCAUGUUGAAAGUUACUUCAGUAAGUCCAUUCUACUGCCAGUGUUUGUCUAUGGAGAUUGCAUGGCGCUGUGCUCGAUUUUAUACACAUGUCAGCAACAAGUGUUGCUGAAAUAGCCAAAUCCACUAAUUUGAUGGGGUGUCCACAUACUUUUCUAUAUAUAGUGUACCUUUGGUAUGAAAAGAUGAAAUGGAAGUAUUACUCAUCACAUGAUGUGGAUUCCACUCUGUAUCUCAGCAACUCUGUAUAUAGCUGCAAUCUCUGUCGUGACCAUGAUGACCCUAGGGACUAGACAGGGAAGUGUCUCAAUAGGCAAGUGAUUUUGUUAUUGGGUGUUGCACUCAACUAAAUAGAAAGGAAGUGAUUCAUAUUCAACUGAAAUAUGAAACAACCAUUUUUCCUGACACCUGUGUCAUUGAAACAGGGCCAUAGUGGAAGCAGAAGGAUGACUUUGAGAGAGAAAAAAAAAAAGCUCUAACGAAGACCUCGAGGCCGAUACAUGUAACUUAAUAAACAGCACUGAUGCUACUGUAGCAAGAGCAGUGUGCGGGUUUCUUCUUUUUUUUCCUCAUCUCAUUCAACUGUUACCAUGCACCUGCACAAAGUCAGCUCAGAUGUGUGAGUGCCUUUUUUGAAUUUUGAGUCAUCAAUGAUUGACAAAUGUCACGGGGCAUUGUUUUGUGUCUACAAUGAGAAUACCCUACGUGUACACAAGCGCACACAUGCUUCCAAGUCUGUUUUAUAAAGAUUCUUUAUCUAUUGCUGAGGUCAGUCCUCCCAAACCUGUAUCGGUUAAAUGAUUUAUAAAGCCUUCCUAAUGCCUUCAUAAAUACUUGUAUUAAUGUGUUACAAAGCAUCUAUGACCAUAUGUCAUGCUUUAUAAAGGGUUCAUACAUGUGACAUAACUGUGUGACAUAAUCACCAAUGUCAAAUGUCACAUAAGCCACUUGUGUCGAAUAUGAUAUAAACAUGUACUUCAUUAAAGGGUGGCACACGA
Molecule: long non-coding RNA, 3521 nt
Organism: Oncorhynchus nerka (sockeye salmon)
Lineage: Eukaryota; Metazoa; Chordata; Actinopteri; Salmoniformes; Salmonidae
Exons: 2
Source: RefSeq, a predicted model, not a curated record